Molecule: ribosomal RNA, 230 nt
Filed under: uncultured bacterium
Lineage: Bacteria
Description: partial 16S ribosomal RNA
Rfam family: Bacterial small subunit ribosomal RNA
Source: RNAcentral
AAGAGCUCGUAGGCGGUGUGUCACGUCGGCCGUGAAAACCUGCAGCUUAACUGUGGGCGUGCGGUCGAUACGGGCAUCACUGGAGUUCGGCAGGGGAGACUGGAAUUCCUGGUGUAGCGGUGAAAUGCGCAGAUAUCAGGAGGAACACCGGUGGCGAAGGCGGGUCUCUGGGCCGAUACUGACGCUGAGGAGCGAAAGCGUGGGGAGCAAACAGGAUUAGAUACCCCAGU